RNAcentral lists this long non-coding RNA (1031 nucleotides) under Takifugu rubripes (torafugu). RNAcentral describes it as "lncRNA (ENSTRUG00000029954.1)". The record is from RNAcentral. Lineage: Eukaryota; Metazoa; Chordata; Actinopteri; Tetraodontiformes; Tetraodontidae.
UUUCAGCACAGCUGAAGCAGGAGGAAGAGACACGAAGCACUUUUUUUUUUUUUAAAGAAAGCCGACAAAAGCUUCACGAAGGUUCAUUUACCUCUUUCAAAACGACCUAAAAUAACCUAUAUUCUAUCAUUCUAAAUAUGUAAUGAAUAUUUAUGUGGAGCUUGAUCUGACAGUAUGUGCACGUUUGGAUGGCCUGCAUGAUCAGCAGCUAAUUUUCUUUUAAAAAGUAAUUUAUUUUCAUCCGAUGAUCACGUGAUCUAAAAGGGAGCUAAAAGUUUAUUGCUGAAUUUUCUGUCCGGUUCUGUUGCUCAUGGGGUGCUCUCAUUGGAUUUGAGGAGCUGCCUGGUGACGCAGCGCUAUAGCCAACUAGUGGCUUAGUUACCUUCGGAAAUACUCUUACAAGUACCCGUUUUAAAGAACCAGAAGGGUAGGAUAUGGUAUCUCACCCAGAUUUGAGCCGGUUGUGAGUUGUGGUCAGGUCGGGAUGACACCCGUCGUCUAAAAGAUGCUUCAUUUAAUGUAACGGGUCUGGUUGGACCCUCGAACCGGGGAGCCGAAUGUUCGGUUCGGAGUUUUCUGCACCUUUGAAUGAAUUCUGACACCUCCGACCCCUCCCAAUCGGCUCCUUUUCCUUUAGCUUUCAAACCGCGCCAAUUAAAGUGAUUCUCUCUCCCUUUGAUCUGCUUCCCUUCAUGCAGUGCGCGCACGCACACACGCGCUCCCUCAACAGCAGAGGUGUGCGCACUUUUUCUCUCUCCUCCUUCUCUUCUUCUGUUUCUCUCCCUCUUUGCGUCACUACAAUCCUCCCCCGUGUUCUGAGGAACAGCGGGCGUCACGUCGGGACGUUUUUUUGCUUUGUUUAUUUCGGAUUUUCCCCUGCUUUGUUUAUUCUUGCUUUGUUCUUCUGUCUCCUUCCUCUGAGGUGCUGCAGAGUCAGACGAGAGAUGGGAUGUGGACAUUCUUCGCCGGCUGCCAGCAGCAAAGACAGCAGCAGCGCUGCAGGUCCAGCUGAAACCUCAUCAAAGGUGUAA